Thamnophis elegans (Western terrestrial garter snake) is the source of this 2140-nucleotide long non-coding RNA. RefSeq lists it as uncharacterized. NCBI's taxonomy places the organism in Eukaryota, Metazoa, Chordata, Lepidosauria, Squamata, Natricidae. The record is from RefSeq and is a predicted model, not a curated record. The transcript has 3 exons.
UUGAUGUGAGAGAGAGAGAGAGAAACUUAUACAAUUGGGGCACCAUGUGGCAGCAAAUCCUGAACUGCUCCUAUAAAUGGGAGAGUUAACCAUUCCUGAAAGGGGUGGGGAAUGUUUUCCACCUUGUGCAAAUCCAUCGCCUGCUCAUUACAAUAUUUCUCUUAGGAAAAGCUAGGGAAGAACACUUAUUUAUAUAUUUAGCCUAUGACGAGAACAUGGCAGCAGAGAAACAAGCAUAAACACACAAGCCACGUAAUUUAUGUAUAAAAUUUCUAAGGGACAGGGCAGUGGCCUCGUAACUGGAUGUCCAGUUCAGCUAUCCGGGUGAUCAGCUUCCUGCAGAUCUUCUAGGGAACCAGAGAACGCACGUUGUCGUGGGCAGUCUUGCACAAUAAGUUUAAUAAUUGGCAUAUCAGCAUCACAAUCGCAAGAAGGGGGAUCUUUCCAGUCUCACCAGGGCAGAGACGCUCCUUCCUGUAUCACACCUAAUUCUGUUCAAUUUCGCCCAGACCGAGCGAGGCAGAUCAAAAACCGAAGGGAUUUGCUAGAGGAAUCACUAAUAGUGAAACUUUGGAAGAACAGUUAAGAAGAACACUGGUAGGAGAGAGAAUCACAGUUUUGGGCGUAUCCAGCAACGGCUACAGGGCAGCUUUAAAAGGAUAUUAAUCAUAGUCCUUUGAAAGUGAGUUUUCUGCCUACUCAAAGCCCAGAGGAAGCAAAACUUGAGUAAUUCCACUUCCCAUCAGAAGGGAGAAGCAGGAAGCCAAGCUGCAGAUUUCAAUACUCCACCCAGGAGGGCUGCAGUUAUUGUAGGAGCCAGCCAGCCAAAUUCUGGCCACGGGGAUGCUGCGACGGCCGUAAGUGUGAAAAACGGCCCUAAGUCCCAUUUUUUCAGUGCUGCUGCAACUUAAAAAGUUCACUAAAUGAACUUUCGUUAAGUCCAGGGCUGCCUGUAAGGCUAUAUAGAGCAGAGGGCUCCAAUCUUGGCUCCUUUUAAGACUUGUGGACUUCAACUCCCAGAAUUCCCCAGCAUAACAAAGUUGGAAACCCCGCCCAUGCUGUCACUCCAAGAAGCCCCUGCCCAAUCAUAUUCAGAGGGACCCAAAUGAACCAAUCAGGGCCCCAAUCGCGGCCCCGCCCCCGAAAGGGCUGGGCCCGCCCUCCUCUGAUACCGACCGGGGAGAGGGGGCUUUGACGACGACCUGAGGCCGAAUUACGAGCAGCUGUAAGAACAAAUAAGGGGUUUUUUCGCCCCCUCAGGACCCCACCCAUCAAGAAAGAAAACAGCACAGGCUCCCUGCAGGUGCGAAGGACAAGAGGAGGGCAGGUGACACCCCUCCGUCCCUUUGGGGGAUGCAGCUAAUGGAGACUCUGGAAAAGGCGGCGAGACCCUUGGAGUGGUGAUGAUAGCAUGUCCCAGGCAGCCUCUGCAGGACACAGGGAGACAGCCCACAAGGAUCAGGAGGUGGUCAUGGACCUCUGGCAAGCAGGGAGCAUGGGAGAAGAGGACUCCGCUGCUGUUCCUGGCUCAUCAGGCUUCUUCGGAGCCCUAUAAAGAGCUGGCUGCAAUCACUCCUCACUUAACAAGGGGAUGAGAAGUUUGGUUGGAGGUCAACGUGGGACACUCAUUCAGCUCCAUACCAUGAAGGUCACGGCUGAAGAAAACUUUGUGGGCUUCUAUGCAUUUUGUGACUUCUUGAGGCAACACCAUUUCCGCUGACAUCCUUCUAAUUGGACCCAUGCAAUGCCUCGUAAAAUUAUGAACUUUCCUUCUUUUUUUUAAAAUGAAAACCUCCAAUUAGUAUCAUCAUCAAAAUUAUUAAUUGGAAGAAAGGAGCUUUUUCUCAUCAAAGACAGAAGCCUGGAUCCCGGGGUCAUCCGAUGAAGGGAGGUUUAGGAGAGACAAAAAUGCAUCUUCAUGUACAACCUACAAAGAAAAGUACGGAAUUUGGUGCCAGAAAAGAUUGUGACUCUGCCAACGUGGGGACUUCCAAAAGUGCCCUUAGAUGGAUUUAUAGGAGGAAUUUCACCUGGGGGAGACAGAAGCGAAAAACUUGAUUCCUUUAGUCCAGGGGUCUCCAAACUUGGCCACAUUAAGACAUGUGGACUUCAACUCCCAGAAUUCUCCAGCCAGCAUAAC